AUGAACAAAGCUGGAUGCCUCGCCUUCGUCAAAUCGGUACUAAGCGCGAUCCCCAUCCACCAGCUCCUUGUGCUUGCGCCGCCAAAUAAGAUCCUCAAGCUCCUAGAGAAAAUUCAACGAGGAUUCCUAUGGGCGGGCCGCACAGAGGCGCACGGUGGCCACUGUCACGUUAACUGGCAACGCGUCUGCCGCCCAACUCGCCUUGGUGGACUUGGAGUGCAUGACCUGGAGCGCACGGGACCGGCCCUGCGUACCAGAUGGCUUUGGUUCGCCCGCACAGACGACACUCGGGCAUGGUCUGGCCUCGACCUCCAAUUCAAUGCUACGGAGCGCGCCUUCUUCUUCGCGUCCACCACCAUGAUCCUCGGCGACGGCCAGCGCGCAUUGUUCUAG
This 393-nucleotide ribosomal RNA is filed under the name Triticum aestivum (bread wheat). RNAcentral's name for it is "partial small subunit ribosomal RNA". Lineage: Eukaryota; Viridiplantae; Streptophyta; Magnoliopsida; Poales; Poaceae. The record is from RNAcentral.